This 253-nucleotide ribosomal RNA is filed under the name uncultured bacterium. RNAcentral describes it as "partial 16S ribosomal RNA". It matches the Rfam family "Bacterial small subunit ribosomal RNA", at positions 524 to 776 of the family's 1533-position model. The record is from RNAcentral.
UACGUAGGUGGCAAGCGUUGUCCGGAUUUAUUGGGUUUAAAGGGUGCGUAGGCGGCCCGUUAAGUCAGUGGUGAAAGCCUCCAGCUCAACUGGAGAACUGCCAUUGAUACUGACGGGCUUGAGUACAGACGAGGUUGGCGGAAUUGAUAGUGUAGCGGUGAAAUGCAUAGAUACUAUCAAGAACACCGAUUGCGUAGGCAGCUAACUAGGCUGUAACUGACGCUGAGGCACGAAAGCGUGGGGAGCGAACAGG